Long non-coding RNA from Drosophila subobscura, 121 nucleotides. RefSeq lists it as uncharacterized. The transcript has 3 exons. The record is from RefSeq and is a predicted model, not a curated record. NCBI's taxonomy places the organism in Eukaryota, Metazoa, Arthropoda, Insecta, Diptera, Drosophilidae.
GAAGGAAACGUUUCCGACCCCAUAAAACUCGAUUGAGCCACGUCUGUCUGUACGUCCGUUCGUCUUGUUGAGCGACUGGAUCUCAGAGACUAUAAAAGCUAGAGUCUCCAAAUUUUGCAUC